This 77-nucleotide transfer RNA is filed under the name Psittacicella gerlachiana. RNAcentral describes it as "Bisgaard taxon 44 str. EEAB3T1 tRNA-Met". It matches the Rfam family "tRNA". From Rfam's summary of the family: Transfer RNA (tRNA) molecules are approximately 80 nucleotides in length. Their secondary structure includes four short double-helical elements and three loops (D, anti-codon, and T loops). RNAcentral also lists the same sequence under 2 other names. The record is from RNAcentral. Lineage: Bacteria; Pseudomonadati; Pseudomonadota; Gammaproteobacteria; Pasteurellales; Psittacicellaceae.
UGCGGGAUGGAGCAGUCUGGUAGCUCGUCGGGCUCAUAACCCGAAGGUCGUUGGUUCAAAUCCAGCUCCCGCGUCCA